This 1202-nucleotide ribosomal RNA is filed under the name Dothiorella iberica. RNAcentral describes it as "eukaryotic LSU rRNA". The stretch from base 832 to 985 matches the Rfam family "5.8S ribosomal RNA". The record is from RNAcentral. Lineage: Eukaryota; Fungi; Ascomycota; Dothideomycetes; Botryosphaeriales; Botryosphaeriaceae.
AUUGGCCAUUUUGACAGUCUUACCGCCUCGCUCGUAGCACAGAGCCCCCUUCGGGGGUAUCCCCCGCGUGUAGGAGGAGGCGUCUCGGAUCCCCCCCAAUCUAACAGUUGUCGGCCCCGCAGGGCAACCUACCGUCCCCUUGUUUACAGUGUUGGGCAGCUCUCCUCCUCUGCGGAGGGCGGAAUUAAGGUGCUAGAAGCUUGUUGUUUUUUUUUUUGCGACAGGUUCCGCAUCGAGUUCGUGUAGCAGAUCAGUAGUGAUCCUUCCGCGGUGACACUUAUCGAAGCCUUGAAUUACGCCCUCGCAAGAGGGAGAUGCCCAACGACUGUAAACAAAUGGGACGCGUAAGUUGGCCCUCGUGGCCGGCGACACUUUCGAAUUGCGGGGAUACCCUGAGAGCUCUGCCUACCAACCCGGGGGGAAACCCACCGGGGGCCCGUGCUAACAACACGGGGCGGUAAAAACGGUCAGAGAUUGGGCAAUCCGCAGCCAAGCCCCUAACUCCAGGCCCGCCUGGACACGGGGAAGGUUCACAGACUAAGUGGAAGUGGGUGCGGCCGCUCGGCCGUGCUUAAGAUAUAGUCGGGCCCUCAGCGAAAGCUGGGGGGUAAGUCACUGCAAAAUGGCGAUCAACCGUUCCGUAGGUGAACCUGCGGAAGGAUCAUUACCGAGUUGAUUCGAGCUCCGGCUCGACUCUCCCACCCUUUGUGUACCUACCUCUGUUGCUUUGGCGGGCCCGCGGUUCGGCCUCGUGCCGUCCAGCACCCGCCAGAGGACCACAAAACUCCAGUCAGUGAACGUCUCAUUCUGAAAAACAAGUUAAUAAACUAAAACUUUCAACAACGGAUCUCUUGGUUCUGGCAUCGAUGAAGAACGCAGCGAAAUGCGAUAAGUAAUGUGAAUUGCAGAAUUCAGUGAAUCAUCGAAUCUUUGAACGCACAUUGCGCCCCUUGGUAUUCCGGGGGGCAUGCCUGUUCGAGCGUCAUUUCAACCCUCAAGCUCUGCUUGGUAUUGGGCUCCGUCCUCUGGGACGCGCCUCAGAGACCUCGGCGGUGGCGUCUUGCCUCAAGCGUAGUAGAAAACACCUCGCUUUGGAGCGCACGGCGUCGCUCGCCGGACGAACCUUUUGAUUUUCUCAAGGUUGCCUUCGGAUCAGGUAGGGAUACCCGCUGAACUUAAGCUAUCGUUAUUGUAAAAAAAAA